RNAcentral lists this ribosomal RNA (504 nucleotides) under Priestia aryabhattai. Its description in RNAcentral is "bacterial SSU rRNA". It matches the Rfam family "Bacterial small subunit ribosomal RNA", at positions 82 to 572 of the family's 1533-position model. Lineage: Bacteria; Bacillati; Bacillota; Bacilli; Caryophanales; Bacillaceae. The record is from RNAcentral.
UUCUAUGACGUUAGCGGCGGACGGGUGAGUAACACGUGGGCAACCUGCCUGUAAGACUGGGAUAACUUCGGGAAACCGAAGCUAAUACCGGAUAGGAUCUUCUCCUUCAUGGGAGAUGAUUGAAAGAUGGUUUCGGCUAUCACUUACAGAUGGGCCCGCGGUGCAUUAGCUAGUUGGUGAGGUAACGGCUCACCAAGGCAACGAUGCAUAGCCGACCUGAGAGGGUGAUCGGCCACACUGGGACUGAGACACGGCCCAGACUCCUACGGGAGGCAGCAGUAGGGAAUCUUCCGCAAUGGACGAAAGUCUGACGGAGCAACGCCGCGUGAGUGAUGAAGGCUUUCGGGUCGUAAAACUCUGUUGUUAGGGAAGAACAAGUACGAGAGUAACUGCUCGUACCUUGACGGUACCUAACCAGAAAGCCACGGCUAACUACGUGCCAGCAGCCGCGGUAAUACGUAGGUGGCAAGCGUUAUCCGGAAUUAUUGGGCGUAAAGCGCGCGC